CGCAUAGAAUCGAAGCGUCCUUCUUGGAGGUUUGGAGUUGGAUCUUGAUCGCCAUGAUUUCUCUCUGGGCGGUCUCUCUGUGGUGACUUUUUAUCCUCUUCUUCUUGCGCGGCGUCGAAACCAGCAGUCUUUUCUUCCGGGGAGUUGCAUCUCGAUCGGUCGGCCGGCUUCUUUCUCGAUUCUAUUGAUAUUUUUUAUAAUCCUGGUAUCGUCUUGAAUGCUUUUCACAUUCUUUUGGUUUUUGUUUCGUGAUCCAGCAAGAAGAGAAAUGAGUUCUUGGUGGCGGCGCAUCCCGAUGACGAGUCCACGUAAGUUUGUUGGUGUUUCAGAUUCCUUGAACGAUGAAAAUGUAAUACAUAUAGGAUGUAUCCUUUUUAAGGCAAGGGAGGGUAAGGCCCACCCAUGGAUUUCAUUAACCGGAUGAAAUCAAAAGAGUAAAAGUGAGGAAGAAAGAGUAAAAUUACAUUGAUUGAAGAAGAAAACUAGAAGGAACAAUGAAAGAGAGGUAAGGAUACAGAAUUGAGGAAAGAAACAUUUGGCGAAGGAGCUGUUGCCAGUGGAGUACACGGUCAUGUGCGAAAGAUAGCCAUGGUUGAAGAGAUGAAGGUGGUGAUGUCUCUAAUAGCAUGUGCAAAAAGAUCAGUACAAGUACUCUUUGCAAGUAUACUGGCCGUGUGGACAUCUGGUUGUCUAUCUUAUUCUGUGUCUAAUCCAAGAAGACAGAUGCAUUGCUUACCCAACAGCCUUCCACUCAAAGCUCUCUUGCAAUGGCUGAACAUGAGAGCCAGUGGUUUUGGCUUCGGAGGUUGUUUCUGCUGUUCUCUAGUCAUACGAACAUGAACACGCUUUGAAAAAUCGAUCUCCAGCAUUUCGUGAAUGAAUUAACCAGCGACCUUCAUUUCAUACAUUGAUUUGAUCUUUACCAUGGAACAACUUCGCUCAUGUAGCAAGUGCACUCACGGUGUCUCAGACUUAUCAGAACAAGGCAAUCAUCCAUGGAGCUCAUGGGUUUGUUAUGAUAGUGAUGCAAGAUAAGAGUACCAGAUUGAAAGAGUGACAACUCAUCUUAGCUCGUACAAUGUGCAGAUCAUAAUGUUUGGCUCAUAAUCCUGCCAAAAGUGGAGUCUGUAAUUAGGAAGUUCUGAUGGCUUUCUGUAAUUUCAAGAAUACACUUGUGAAAUCUGGGCCUAUUGUCUGAGUCUAUGAUUGUCUUGGUAGGAUUCUUUGCUUUUAUUUUUAAAUAUUACAAGACUGAUGGUCCAGGAUCACAUCAAUUGUUCCAUCGCGCAUGGCCUGCUCGGAGUCAAUAGUUAAUUUCUGAAGUA
Phoenix dactylifera (date palm) is the source of this 1325-nucleotide non-coding RNA. The record is from RefSeq and is a predicted model, not a curated record. NCBI's taxonomy places the organism in Eukaryota, Viridiplantae, Streptophyta, Magnoliopsida, Arecales, Arecaceae.